This 2022-nucleotide long non-coding RNA is filed under the name Anas zonorhyncha (Eastern spot-billed duck). RNAcentral describes it as "lncRNA (ENSAZOG00000015350.1)". The record is from RNAcentral. Lineage: Eukaryota; Metazoa; Chordata; Aves; Anseriformes; Anatidae.
CCCCGCCCCCGUGCGGCCCCCCGGCGCCCCCCAGCGUCCCGCAGUUGGCAGGGCUGGAGGCCGGCUACGCCUGCUUCUGCGGCCACGCGGGCGACCUGCGGCGGGGGCAGCGCGCCGGCACCGCCGAGUGCGACCAGGUGUGCUUCGGCAAGGCCAGCCAGCUCUGCGGAGGGGACGGCCGCCUCGCCGUCUACCACGCCUGGGUGGGCGCGUGCCGCGCCAACAGCUCGGCCCCCUCGGGGGUCGUUUACUCCCCCGGCUUCCCCGACGACUACGGCCCCGACGCCGACUGCGCCUGGCGCCUGGGGGGGGGCACGGGGACCCCGACGGGGACGGGGGCGGCGCUGGAGGUGACGUUCCGCCUGUUCGACAUCCGCGACCCCAACGACCGCCUGACCCUGCGCGACGCCCGCAGCCGCCGCCUCCUGGCCCAGUUCGNNNNNNNNNNUCCCCCCCCCCCGCCCCGCAGGGCCUUUGUUCCCGGGCAGGAGCUGGAGCUGAGUCCUCGCCACGAGCAGGCCAAGCAGCUGCUGCAGCGCGCCCGCAUGAAGGCUCGCACCAACCCGCUGCGCGCCAGCCACGACCUCCUGCUCCUCCCCGCCGCUCCGCGCCCCAGGUGAGUCCCAAAUCCGCGGCACCGGGGCACUGCACGAGGAUUUAGCACGGAAAACCCGCGGGCGUGCUUGGCAAAGGGGGCAUGCGCAGGGCCAGGGUCCCACCGGCUGCACCUUGUGCCCUCCCGGCCCCAGGAGCGCUCCCCUUGCUCAGGUGCACGUUGAGGCUUUGCUGCAGGAUAUUUUUGGGGUGAUUCGUGGUGUUUUGAGGCACUGGGGAGGGGGUACUGGGGGGAUACUGGGAGGGACUGGGAGAGACUGGGGGGAUAUUGGGGGAUACUGGUUGAUACUGGUUUAUACUGGGCGCUAUUUCCCCCCUAAAGGUGUGGCCGCGCCCCCCAGCGCCCCCAGCCCCACGGCGACCCCGAGCCCCCCAGCGCCCCACAGCACCCGAGGUGAGCAACGGGGGGGGGGCCCACAACUGACCCCAUAUCUAUGGGGCUGCCCCACACCCGGCCCCAUAAGUGGUGUAUCUGUGGGGCUGCCCCACAUCUAACCCCAUAUCUAUGGGGCUGCCCCACACCUGACCCCAUAACUGACCCCAUAUCUGACUCUAUCUAUGGGGCUGCCCCACAUCUAACCCCACAUCUAUGGGGCUGCCCCACAUCUAGCCCCAUAACUGACCCCGUAUCUAUGGGGCUGCCCCACACCUGACCCCAUUACUGAUUUUAUCUAUGGGGCUGCCCCACACCCAGCCUCAUAAGUGAUGUAUCUUUGGGGCUGCUCCAAACCUGACCCCAUAUCUGUGGGGCUGCCCCACAACUGACCCCACAACUGACCCCAUAACUGACUCUAUCUAUGGGGCUGCUCCCCAUCUAACCCCACACCUGACCCCGUAUCUAUGGGGCCGCCCCACAAGUGACCCCAUAAGUGCUGUAGUUAUGGGGCUGCCCCAUAAGUGCUGUAUCUAUGGGGCUGCCCCAUAUCUAACCCCACACCUGACCCCAUAACUGACUCUAUGGGGCUGCCCCACACCUGACCCUGUAUCUAUGGGGCCGCCCCACAAGUGACCCCAUAAGUGCUGUAGUUACGGGGCCGCCCCACACCUGACCCCUAUCUGUGGGGCCGCCCCACAAGUGACCUCAUAAGUGCUGUAGUUAUGGGGCUGCCCCACAUCUAACCCCAUAACUGACCCCAUAACUGACUCUAUCUGUGGGGCUGCCCCACACCUGACCCCAUAACUGACCCCAUAUCUGACUCUAUUUAUGGGGCUGCCCCACACCUGACCCCUAUCUAUGGGGCUGCCCCACACCCUGCCCCACACCUGACCCUGUAUCUAUGGGGCCGCCCCACAAGUGACCCCAUAAGUGCUGUAGUUAUGGGGCUGCCCCACACCUGACCCUGUAUCUAUGGGGCUGCCCCACACCUGACCCCUAUCUGUGGGGCCGCCCCCCAGCCGUGCUGAGCU